Molecule: transfer RNA, 82 nt
Filed under: Campylobacter curvus 525.92
Lineage: Bacteria; Pseudomonadati; Campylobacterota; Epsilonproteobacteria; Campylobacterales; Campylobacteraceae
Description: tRNA-Leu
Rfam family: tRNA
About the family: Transfer RNA (tRNA) molecules are approximately 80 nucleotides in length. Their secondary structure includes four short double-helical elements and three loops (D, anti-codon, and T loops). Further hydrogen bonds mediate the characteristic L-shaped molecular structure. tRNAs have two regions of fundamental functional importance: the anti-codon, which is responsible for specific mRNA codon recognition, and the 3' end, to which the tRNAs corresponding amino acid is attached (by aminoacyl-tRNA synthetases). tRNAs cope with the degeneracy of the genetic code in two manners: having more than one tRNA (with a specific anti-codon) for a particular amino acid; and 'wobble' base-pairing, i.e. permitting non-standard base-pairing at the 3rd anti-codon position.
Source: RNAcentral
GUGGUGAAAUUGGCAGACACACCAGACUUAGGAUCUGGCGCCUCACGGCAUGGAGGUUCAAGUCCUCUCAUCCGCACCAUCU